CCGGAUGGGGGGAGAGGCCUUACAACGCCCUAAUGCGCCCCCACAGCUAUGUCAGGAACAGGAGGAGAACCUCGUCCUGACAUGAGCAAAGUCAAAGGCCCGAUUCUUUUAGACCGGAUGGAGGGAGAGGCCUUACAGCGCCCAAAUGUGCCCCCACAGCCAUGUCAGGAACAGGAGGAGAACCUCGUCCUGACAUGAGCAAAGUCAAGGCCCGGUUCUUUUAGACCGGAUGGGGGGAGAGGCCUUACAGCGCCCAAAUGUGCCCCCACAGCCAUGUCAGGAACAGGAGGAGAACCUCGUCCUGACAUGAGCAAAGUUGAAGGCCCGAUUCUUUUAGACCGGAUGGGGGAAGAGGCCUUGCAGCGCCCUAACGCGCCCCCGCAACCAGGUUGGUAACGAGAGGAGAACCUCACACCGACUCGAGCAAAAUGGAAGGCCCGGACUCCUACGGGAGCCGGGUUCCGUCUACAAGGAA
RNAcentral lists this long non-coding RNA (475 nucleotides) under Elaeis guineensis (African oil palm). RNAcentral describes it as "long non-coding RNA (EGUI_LNC034284)". The record is from RNAcentral. Lineage: Eukaryota; Viridiplantae; Streptophyta; Magnoliopsida; Arecales; Arecaceae.